UACGGAACUGCUUGUUUCUCAGUGGGCCGCGCCGGCUGGCUCAUCGGAUUCUCUGGGUGUGGUCCCAUCCCUGGCCCGCAGUCCGCACAAUCGAUAACAACAAAGCUACACGUCUGUAGCAAAACAGACUCACACAACACUACUCAAAAUGAACCGCAUAAUCGAUAACAAAUAUUCGGAACUACUAACUCAUGAACAAAAUACACAGCUGUAACAACUAUGAAAAUGUAAACAACAAAGAUCGGGCCCCGGUUCCGGACCCAGCGUACCCGCCCUACCAUGAGACGAUCACCUCCACUCGUCUCCCUCAUUUUGGCCACCAAAUGGCCUAUAUUAGCCCGUGUCGGCCACAAUGCCCACUCUCCCCAGCAAUAUCAUUUUAGCCGGACAUGAUUUCUUUCAAUAGCUGUUUAGGAUCUCAGGCAAGCGGAUAAUUCAUUAACUUCACAGAAUUAAUUUUUUUUAUUUUUUUACAACACUGAAUGGAACAGGCGACGAAACACUACAAGGAUAUUGCUAGUCGCCGCAAGAGAAACGCGCAAUGAGGCACUUUAGAGGCAAUCGUUGCCCCGAUUUAGGAACAAUGGCCCGCACAAUUACUUAAAACUGGAGCUCUCUGGGGUGGUAAGGGGCGAUAUAAAUGCGUAAAUUCAAAUUAGGCGCAGAUGCAUCACCGUUGGAGUUUUCCUCACCGUUCGCACUCUAAAGUGAAGCUCGGCGUAAGUGCCUAUGGAGUGCAAUUAGGAGUCUUCUUCUGACUCUGCCAGGGGCUCGAACGAGGAUGGG
Drosophila virilis is the source of this 786-nucleotide long non-coding RNA. RefSeq lists it as uncharacterized. The record is from RefSeq and is a predicted model, not a curated record. NCBI's taxonomy places the organism in Eukaryota, Metazoa, Arthropoda, Insecta, Diptera, Drosophilidae.